GGUAUUGGCAAGAAACAACUUUAUAUUACACUCACAAAGAAGAAACAAACUGGGAGUAUAGCUACCUACUUCUAAACAUUUGAGUAUUGGAACAUUCAUCCAUCAACUUGUUCUUGCAAAGGUUGGCUCUGUAUUUGUUCUUGCAAAGGUUGACUCUGUAUUUGUUCUUGCAAAGGUUGACUCUGUAUUUGUUCUUGCGAAGGUUGACUCUGUAUUUGUUCUUGCGACGGUUGACUCUGUAUUUCUUCUUGCAAGGGUUGACUCUGCAUCACGGCAAGAAACAGAUCAACAAUCUUCCAAUUUGAGAAAUGUUUGUAAGAGACAGAAAUACAUGGUUAUGACAUGAAAACAUGAGAAAAUCAAGAAAGAAGAAGCAU
This 377-nucleotide long non-coding RNA is filed under the name Cucumis sativus (cucumber). RNAcentral describes it as "long non-coding RNA (CSAT_LNC000870)". The record is from RNAcentral. Lineage: Eukaryota; Viridiplantae; Streptophyta; Magnoliopsida; Cucurbitales; Cucurbitaceae.